ACCAGGUGUAUCAAGUAGCGUGCAGUUGAUUGGUGGGCGGGGCAAAUGGCUUUAUAGCUGAGCAGGCCACUGCGAGGUGUGUGUCUUUGUUUCCCCUACUACAUGACGGCUGCCCAAGUGGCUGGUGUGCUUGAUCCGCUCAUCUGAAUUCGUUUCUCGGCUGGCGUUAGCGGCUGCAGCUGGAGGUUGUUGCGGCGUGCGGCUUCCAUCUAGCCCUCGCUUGCUGAUCCGCUCUCUCCCUGGGUCGGCUGUGCUACUACUCCUGGGAUUGUUUGGGAGUUGCAGCGCUUGGACGCUCUGCUGUCUUGUCUUGUCGGUGUUUGUUUGGGCCGCUCUGAAGGCAACCUGUUGCUGAUUGGACAGGCUGAGCGAGCGGGGCACGACUCCUCUGGCCCAUUUGAAGGGCACUGAAAUUGGACAACGACGAUUUGUUCCACCGUUUAAAGUGUUUGUGUUUUUUCUUUUACAGUUUGCUUAUUAUUGAACUUACUAAUGAGUCUGUUUUUUUUGUUUUGAUUUACUAAUUUGUUUUCUUUGGCAUUACAUGUUUUGUUUGUUCGUUUAUUUUUUUGGAAUAAUUCAAAUUGUCACUUUUAUUUCACAUGAUCCUUUUUCAUUUCCAGGGACAGAGUAGUGGGCCCGAAGCCAUGCUUUUAAAAAGAAAUGUUUUAAAUGAAAUUGUUUAAAUAAAAUAUUGUGAACUA
Molecule: long non-coding RNA, 704 nt
Organism: Xiphophorus couchianus (Monterrey platyfish)
Lineage: Eukaryota; Metazoa; Chordata; Actinopteri; Cyprinodontiformes; Poeciliidae
Exons: 3
Source: RefSeq, a predicted model, not a curated record